GCCCCCGCCCCACGGGGCGCAGCAGGCGCGAAAACUUUGCAAUGCGGGAAACCGUGACAGGGGAACUCCGAGUGCCCGUAAAAUCGGGCUGUCCAUCAGGUAAA
This 104-nucleotide ribosomal RNA is filed under the name uncultured archaeon. RNAcentral describes it as "partial 16S ribosomal RNA". It matches the Rfam family "Archaeal small subunit ribosomal RNA", at positions 314 to 422 of the family's 1478-position model. The record is from RNAcentral.